UCAAGCCUAGAUCAGAAAAGUUAGAACAUCUAACUUGCAAGGUAAUAGAUCUGAUCUAUUAUAUUUUACAUACAUUAGAUGUAGUAUAGAAACAUGUUGAUAUGAUCAACAUAUAGUUCUUGCUCUUUAUAUUUUAAUUUUUGAUUUAAUAUUAUAUAAUAAUCAUGUAAUAGAAUUCUAGAUUUAGAGAUUCUCUAAUUUUAUAAGAUAAAUUUUGAUUUAUUUUAGUCUUCUGUUGCCUGAUCUUGA
Molecule: long non-coding RNA, 249 nt
Filed under: Elaeis guineensis (African oil palm)
Lineage: Eukaryota; Viridiplantae; Streptophyta; Magnoliopsida; Arecales; Arecaceae
Description: long non-coding RNA (EGUI_LNC070100)
Source: RNAcentral